CGCCAGGGCCCGCUCUGACCACCGGAUAUCCGGUCCGAGCGCGGCAGGAUGGCGUUGGCUCCUGGCGCGGCCGGCGGGAUCCCCUUUGUUCUGGCCUCGCGUGUUGCUCUUCGGAGAUUCCAUCACUCAGUUUUCUUUCCAGCAGGGUGGCUGGGAGCGGGCGCUGGCUGACAGACUGGUCAGGUGCCGGGACUGACGCCACAGCCGGGCCCCUUAGAAAAUGACGAUGUUCUGAAUCGUGGAUUUUCCGGUUGUAACACCCGCUGGGCCAAAAUCAUCCUUCCGAGAUUGGUGGGGAGCAGGGACAGCCCUGCAGUGGUGACCAUUUUCUUUGAGCGCCAAUGACAGCUCUCUGAGAGACGAGAACCCCAGGCAGCACGUCCCCCUGGAGGAGUACACGGCCAACCUGAGCGCCAUGGUGCGGUACCUGCACUCCGUGGGCGUCACCGGGCCGUGUCGUCCUGGUCACGCCACCCCCACUGUGGGAGGCCGCCUGGGAGGGAGGAGUGCGUGGCGCAGGGGCCGGACGGCGCAGUGGGGCCUGGUGGGGCCCUGGGGAGACAGGAUGGGGAGCUGCUGUGGGCCCUGCUGCUUUGUCUGCGUUCGAGCGGAAGUGGAGACACCGCUCCCUUACACCGUACUGAGACAGGAUUCCCAGCACUCGGGAGGCUGAGGCCAGUCUCAGAAAACAAGGGGAUUUGUUCUGGCUUUGGCCAAGACUGGACCCCUAACCUGGCAUCUGCUGACCUGUAUAGCUGCCAGGCUCCAAGAGGCCAGCGACACCCCCGAACUGGGCGGGAGGGGGCACCAGCUGGCCCAGGAGGUCACAUGGGGCUGAUUUCCACCCUCACCUGCAUCUCUGCUGCCCCGCUGGUCCUGGCAUCUGGAGGCAUGUGCAGGACAGGGCUCUGGAUGAGGGCCACCUUCAUGGCCAGCCAUGUUUCUCACCCCGCCACGCGCAGCUGGGCCACCUCACCCCCACCCGAGGUGUGCCGCUGAUGCCACAGCCUGCUCAGGCUUGGUGGCUGGCCUCCUUCCUGUGCGGAAGCUCGCUCCGUGCUCCACUCCCCAGAGUUGAGUCUGUCGCCCUUGCUUGCAGUUGGGUGGGUGCUGUCGUCCUGUGGAGCCUGAAGUCUCCGUCCCACAGCUGUGAGGGCGACAGUUCCCGGGAUCACGAGGUCUCCAUCCCGCCUGGCUGGCCAUGCACCAGCACCCCGGGCGCUUCCCUGCUCCCAUGCCCUGCCUGGUCACCGCGGCUGCUCGUUGCUGCCUGCCUGCACCUUGGUCCUGUGGCCUCUGCUGACUGCACAGAGCUGUGCCCACCCCUGGCCUGUGACACCCAUGGCCAGGGCCCGCAGUCCAGCACUGCCAUCUGCUGUUGUGCCUGCAG
Molecule: long non-coding RNA, 1390 nt
Filed under: Heterocephalus glaber (naked mole-rat)
Lineage: Eukaryota; Metazoa; Chordata; Mammalia; Rodentia; Bathyergidae
Description: lncRNA (ENSHGLG00100048050.1)
Source: RNAcentral